UUACGGCCAUGUCACGUUGAAACACCGUUUCUCGUACGAUUACCGAAGUUAAGCAACGUUGAGUCUGGUCAGUACUUAGAUGAGUGACCACUUGGGAAAACCUGGUGCUGUAAG
Acanthosepion pharaonis is the source of this 114-nucleotide non-coding RNA. The record is from the annotation of a GenBank genome assembly. Lineage: Eukaryota; Metazoa; Mollusca; Cephalopoda; Sepiida; Sepiidae.